AAUAAGUGUAGUUUUAACGCUGUUCAUGUCUAACGUUUGACCGUUCAUCUUAUUUGAAAUUUAUUGUUAUUAGAUGAUAAAAUAUGAAUAGUAUUUUACGUGUGAAUAUUUUUUUAUAAUUUUUUCAAAUAAGACGGAUGGUCAGAACGAUGAACACGGAUAUCCAUGACUGCACUUAUU
This is a non-coding RNA of Oryza meridionalis, 180 nucleotides long. Lineage: Eukaryota; Viridiplantae; Streptophyta; Magnoliopsida; Poales; Poaceae. The record is from Rfam.